UCUUUUUUUUUUUAAUGAAAACCUGCAUUUUGUGCUUGGUACCGAGAAGAUUAGCACGGCCCCUGUGCAAAGAUGACACACAAAUUCAUAAAGCCUUGAAUAUUUUU
Loxodonta africana (African savanna elephant) is the source of this 107-nucleotide small nuclear RNA. The record is from Ensembl. Lineage: Eukaryota; Metazoa; Chordata; Mammalia; Proboscidea; Elephantidae.